RNAcentral lists this transfer RNA (88 nucleotides) under Planctomycetota bacterium. RNAcentral's name for it is "tRNA-Ser". It matches the Rfam family "tRNA". Rfam says of the family: Transfer RNA (tRNA) molecules are approximately 80 nucleotides in length. Their secondary structure includes four short double-helical elements and three loops (D, anti-codon, and T loops). The record is from RNAcentral. Lineage: Bacteria; Pseudomonadati; Planctomycetota.
GGAGAGGUGCCGGAGCGGCUGAACGGACUGGUUUCGAAAACCAGCGUGGAGCAAUCUACCGGGGGUUCAAAUCCCUCCCUCUCCGCCA